Pteropus alecto (black flying fox) is the source of this 1186-nucleotide long non-coding RNA. RefSeq lists it as uncharacterized. The transcript is spliced from 7 exons. NCBI's taxonomy places the organism in Eukaryota, Metazoa, Chordata, Mammalia, Chiroptera, Pteropodidae. The record is from RefSeq and is a predicted model, not a curated record.
AGGCGGGAAGCCCGGCGUGGGCUGCCGGCGUCGGCCUCUGACUGCAUGCCUGUCCUUACGUGUUUGCUCCACAUUUGGGGUGCUGAGCCGUUCCCUCAGUGGCACCUGGAUAUCACCUCCAACAUUUAUUCUGCACCAGGCGCUGUGUUGGAAGAACAGUGACAAAUGAGACAGCCUGUCUAUCAUAUCACUCUCAGACUAUAAAAGAGACCAGCAUGUUAGUGGUCCCCUGCAAACCUAUGUAACACAGUGGAGAUGAAUGAGAUGACGGUGUGCACAGAAGAGGAACUGAGUGAUUCUGACCGCUGAUGGACACCAGGAGAGGCUACACACAGCCUGGGAGUGUGUUCUCGAUUCUAGUUGACCCCCCUUCUGAUUUACUGUGUGGUCUUGGAAGAUGCCACCUUUCUGGGCUCCAGCUCCCUCAUCAGUAUAAUUAAGGGAAGAGACUCCAACCUCAGGGAACUACAUGCCCCUUCAUGAAUAUGCCAUGCCGUUUCUCUUGUCCUCAUCUUUGCACAUGCUGUUCCCUAUGACCGGAAUGCCUCUCUGGAGAAUGAAGACUUUCCUUUGAGGUGAAUUCCUGGAUGUGCCUAUUCAAACAGAAAAGCAGACUUGACAGUGACAGUGGUGUCCGUGCACAGCUGGCAGAAAGAAAUCCAAAAGCUAGUAAAUCAGACAUGGCUGCUGUUGAAGAGAGAAGCCAUUCCAUAAAUCGUGGGCAGUCUGAGAUCACAAAGAAAAGGACCUGCACAGUGACUUCCUCUUUACAACUUGCCACUCAGUCUCAACCUCCCACCCAAAAUGACUUGUUUCUCCAAACCAGUUGAAAUCUAAAGUGCAUUAGGCACUUAUAAUUAUGAGAACAUGUGAGUGAGUAAGAAGGAGGAGUGGGUACCCUGUAGAGAAAAACAUCCUUAUGUAAAAGUGCUUUGUGUUUGUGGGAGGAGUUCAGGGGUAAUUUCUGCCCAUAUACGGUUGGCCCUUGAGCAACGUGAGGAGAGUUCGUUAGGGGCACCCCCACCCCCACAUAGUCAAAAAUCUGCAUGUAACUUUUGACUCCCCUAAAACUUAACUACUAAUAGCCUAUUGUUGACUAUUGUUACAGCCUUACCAGUACGAUAAAGAGCCAAUUAACACAUAUUCGGUAUAUGUAUUUUAUACUACAUCCUUACAAUAAAGUAAC